This 2029-nucleotide long non-coding RNA is filed under the name Homo sapiens (human). RNAcentral describes it as "non-protein coding LINC01638:19". The record is from RNAcentral. Lineage: Eukaryota; Metazoa; Chordata; Mammalia; Primates; Hominidae.
CUCUCCCUCCCCCGGCCCUCCUGCUGAUGAGAGACAGGAGCGAUGGAUGGUCUGAGUUAGCGGGGUCCCGGCACCACCCAGCGCAAAGGCACUGCACUCACGCACGCCAUGCACAUGCUGGCUCACCUCCUCCAUCCCAUGCCUCCCCUGUCUCCAGCAUUCCCUCUGGAAUACAUCAGCACUGUUGCCUUUGAGGCUGGCCUGCUUGAAUGCACACCUGAGCUCCGGAUUCACAGCAAUUUCUUGGAUGAUUCACAGUGGAGGAAGCCAGAUGCCAUGUCAUGAGGGUGCUCAAGCAACUUUUUGGAGAUGUAUGUAUGGAGAGAAACUGAGGCCUCCUGCCAACAGCCAGCACUAACUUGGCAAGCAUGUUUGAGAGCCACCUGGGAAGUGGAGCCUUCAGCCCCAGUUAAGCCUUCAGAUGAGACUGCAGUCCUGGCCACCAUCUGGACUGCAACUUCACAAGAGCUCCUAAGCCAGAGCCAUGCAGAUGGAUUCUUGGCCCCCAGAAAUUGUGCCACUACAUUUUGGGAAAUUUAUUAUGCAGCCAUAGAUUACCAAUACACUCACUAUUUCUUUUUUCUGAUGCCAUACUAUAUUUUUGUUUGCUGAUUUUUUUCCUCCGUCUCUCCCACUAGGCAUUAAGUUCCAUAAGGGCAGUGACUGUGUCUGCGUGGUUCAUCCAUGUGUCCCCACAGCCUGGCAUAUGGAGCUCACUAAUAACUCAGGCAUGGGUAAAUGGAGAUCACUCAUUUUAGGCUCAGCCUAAUAAAUCUCCCUCCUAUGGCUCUCUCUAGAGAGAGCAGUAAAAUUUGCCCAACUUCUUUUUCUGUCUUUCUGUAUUUGAUUUCUUACACUUUCUGUGGCUUUCUGCUUAGUUUUAUUCCUGGCUGCCUGACAGAGGGUGGGUUUAUGCAGAUAAAGAGGCACCUGUGGGAGGAAGGGCUCUGUGUGCUUUCUCCUUUAAUAAGCUGUGUCUAAAAAAAAAAAAAAAAAAAAAAUAGCUCCCCUUUGCAAAAGGGACGAAAAUAGCCAGGAUUUUCCAGGAUUUUAAUGGAGAUGGGAGGCGGGUACUGGGAGGCUGAAGACUGAGGCAGCCCUCUUCUCUCUGAGCAGCCCCAGUCUGAUCACUGAGCAACCCCGGUCUGAUCACUUACCCACACACCCACACUUGAAUUAUACUCACUUAUUCAUUUAUCCAUCUUUCCACCAAGUCAAUUGUUAAUUAAUUCCCUAUUUAUUAUUUGCUUAUCUAUUUAUACAUUCAUUAUCUAUCCUAUAUUUUUUACUUAUGAAUUAAUCCAUUUAUCCAUCCAUGCACUCAGCUAUUCAUCCAUCCAUCCACUCUCCAUCUAUCCACCCAUCUAUACAUUUAUCCAUCACUGAUCCAUUCACCCACCAUCCACCCAUCUUUCCAUUCAUCCACCCAUUCUUUCAUGCAUCCAUCUAUCCAUCCACCAACCCAUCCAUCUACCCAUCUAUCCACAUAUCCAUCAUCCAUCCAUUCACCCAUUCAUCCACCAUCCAUUUGUCAUCCAUCUAUCUAUCCAUCCAUCCAUGCAUCCAUCCAUCCAUCCACUCAUCCAUUUAUCCACUCAUCUAUCCACUUAUCCAUCAUCCAUUCAUUCACCCAUUUAUCCACCUAUCCUUCCAUCCACCCAUCUAUCCACUUAUCCAUCAUCCAUUCACCCAUCCUGCAUUCAUCCAUUAUCCAUUGAUAUACUUUUCAUUUAAUCCGAACACCCUAAUGCCUUUAUGUUAAUUAAUGAAUUUAUUCACUUAACCAUGUGUCUAUUUAUUAAGUAUUUUAAUUUAUUAAUUUACUAAGCUUUCAGUUCUAUUCAGACCCCCGAGUAUUUACAAGUGCUACUACUUUGUGCCAAGUGCUAUGUUAGGCUCUGGAAUUAAGAGGUGAAGGAGACAGACCUGGUUCCUACCUGUGUGCGGUUCACCCCACUGAUUUCUGGAAUUCAGGUGAGGAGCUGUUCAUGGGAGAUCCUGAAGUCAGCACAAAAUUUCUGCUCUCUAG